AGCGAGAUAAGAUAACAUACCAUGUGGUCUUAGACAGAUUACCUAUAGAUUUGACAUCAUCCUUUCUAGGCCAUUAGCGACACCGGAGUGUCUGCUUGCACUGUAAAGAUGAAAGUAAGAGUCCUGCUACGUGGAACAUCUUCGAUCCUCUGAACUGUCCUCAGGCAACUCAAUAUCAGAGUUCAACGAUACAUCCACCCUCUCAGCAUACAACACAGGAGGCAGAUUGCUCCUGAGGCUCAAGAGAUUCAUACAACUAUACUGAAAAGAUGGCAGAACCUACAUACCAGACCUUACUUCGUCUCCAUAUUAGAGGUCGACCGAUUAUGAUUGUUCAACGCCGAUACCAAU
This is a long non-coding RNA of Oncorhynchus gorbuscha (pink salmon), 351 nucleotides long. RefSeq lists it as uncharacterized. The transcript is spliced from 3 exons. Lineage: Eukaryota; Metazoa; Chordata; Actinopteri; Salmoniformes; Salmonidae. The record is from RefSeq and is a predicted model, not a curated record.